GAUGAACGCUAGCGGCAGGCCUAAUACAUGCAAGUCGAACGAGAGAAGGGAGCUUGCUCCCGGAUCUAGUGGCGCACGGGUGCGUAACGCGUAUGCAACCUACCUUAAUCAGUGGGAUAGCCUCUCGAAAGAGAGAUUAACACCGCAUAAAAUCACAGUCCGGCAUCGGACAAUGAUCAAAUAUUUAUAGGAUUAAGAUGGGCAUGCGUGACAUUAGCUAGUUGGUGAGGUAACGGCUCACCAAGGCAACGAUGUCUAGGGGAUCUGAGAGGAUGUCCCCCCACACUGGUACUGAGACACGGACCAGACUCCUACGGGAGGCAGCAGUAAGGAAUAUUGGUCAAUGGAGGCAACUCUGAACCAGCCAUGCCGCGUGCAGGAAGACGGCCCUAUGGGUUNUAAACUGCUUUUAUUGGGGAAUAACCUCCUGUAUGAAUACAGGACUGAAUGUACCCAAGGAAUAAGGAUCGGCUAACUCCGU
This 481-nucleotide ribosomal RNA is filed under the name uncultured bacterium. RNAcentral's name for it is "bacterial SSU rRNA". It matches the Rfam family "Bacterial small subunit ribosomal RNA", at positions 28 to 506 of the family's 1533-position model. The record is from RNAcentral.